This 270-nucleotide ribosomal RNA is filed under the name uncultured bacterium. RNAcentral's name for it is "partial 16S ribosomal RNA". It matches the Rfam family "Bacterial small subunit ribosomal RNA", at positions 83 to 354 of the family's 1533-position model. The record is from RNAcentral.
CUAUGUCGGCGACCGGCGCACGGGUGCGUAACGCGUAUGCAACCUACCCAUUACAGGGGGAUAACACUGAGAAAUCGGUACUAAUACCCCAUAACAUCCAGGGAGGCAUCUUCUUGGGUUGAAAACUCCGGUGGUAGUGGAUGGGCAUGCGUUGUAUUAGUUAGUUGGUGGGGUAACGGCUCACCAAGACAACGAUACAUAGGGGGACUGAGAGGUUAACCCCCCACAUUGGUACUGAGACACGGACCAAACUCCUACGGAAGGCAGCAG